RNAcentral lists this ribosomal RNA (449 nucleotides) under uncultured Leptolinea sp. RNAcentral describes it as "bacterial SSU rRNA". It matches the Rfam family "Bacterial small subunit ribosomal RNA", at positions 917 to 1381 of the family's 1533-position model. Lineage: Bacteria; Bacillati; Chloroflexota; Anaerolineae; Anaerolineales; Anaerolineaceae. The record is from RNAcentral.
CGGGCCCGCACAAGCAGCGGAGCGUGUGGUUAAUCCGAUGUUACACGAAGAACCUCACCAGGGUUUGACAUGCAAGUGGUAGGAAGCCGAAAGGUGACCGACCUUCGGGAGCUUGCACAGGUGCUGCAUGGCUGUCGUCAGCUCGUGUCGUGAGAUGUUCGGUUAAGUCCGCUAACGAGCGCAACCCUCGCUGUGUGUUAUAUGUGUCACACGGGACUGCCGGUCUUAAGCCGGAGGAAGGUGGGAUGAUGUCAAGUCAGCAUGGCCUUUAUAUCCUGGGCUACACACACGCUACAAUGGCCAACACAAUAGGUUGCUAAGCCGCGAGGUGGCGCCAAUCCAUAAAGUUGGUCUCAGUUCAGAUUGUAGGCUGCAACCCGCCUGCAUGAAGAUGGAGUUGCUAGUAACCGCAGGUCAGCUAUACUGCGGUGAAUACGUUCCCGGGGCUU